Mycena rosella is the source of this 93-nucleotide non-coding RNA. The record is from the annotation of a GenBank genome assembly. NCBI's taxonomy places the organism in Eukaryota, Fungi, Basidiomycota, Agaricomycetes, Agaricales, Mycenaceae.
UCGGACGUGGUGUAUGGAACACAGCCUCUUGUGGUGGGGACCCCGGGUAUCACAAUUAUGAGGCAGUCCGGGGCUCGACUCCCCGCGUCCGAA